GUGGAUUAGAUACCCUAGUAGUCCACGCUGUAAACGAUGGAUACUAGCUGUUUGAGCGCUUUAGGCGUUUGAGUGGCUAAGCGAAAGUGAUAAGUAUCCCACCUGGGGAGUACGAACGCAAGUUUGAAACUCAAAGGAAUUGACGGGGGCCCGCACAAGCGGUGGAGCAUGUGGUUUAAUUCGAUGAUACGCGAGGAACCUUACCAAGGCUUAAAUGUAGAUUGACGUAUUUGGAAACAGAUAUUUCUUCGGACAAUUUACAAGGUGCUGCACGGUCGUCGUCAACU
Molecule: ribosomal RNA, 287 nt
Filed under: uncultured bacterium
Lineage: Bacteria
Description: partial 16S ribosomal RNA
Rfam family: Bacterial small subunit ribosomal RNA
Source: RNAcentral